This 422-nucleotide ribosomal RNA is filed under the name uncultured bacterium. RNAcentral describes it as "bacterial SSU rRNA". It matches the Rfam family "Bacterial small subunit ribosomal RNA", at positions 355 to 774 of the family's 1533-position model. The record is from RNAcentral.
UGAGGAAUAUUGGGCAAUGCCCGCAAGGGUGACCCAGCAACGCCGCGUGGAGGAUGAAUGUCGUAAGAUUGUAAACUCCUGUUAGAGGGGAAGAAUAGUACCGGUUGGACCGGUAUAUGACUGUACCCUCAGAGAAAGCCCCGGCUAACUACGUGCCAGCAGCCGCGGUAAUACGUAGGGGGCAAGCGUUGUCCGGAGUUACUGGGCGUAAAGAGUGCGUAGGCGGUUUUCUAAGUUCGGUGUGAAAUCUCCCGGCUUAACUGGGAGGGUGCGCCGAAGACUGGGAAGCUGGAGUGUGGGAAAGGCAGGCGGAAUUCCUGGUGUAGCGGUGAAAUGCGUAGAUAUCAGGAGGAACACCGGCGGUGUAGACGGCUUGCUAGACCAUAACUGACGCUGAGGCACGAAAGCGUGGGUAGCAAACA